This 497-nucleotide ribosomal RNA is filed under the name uncultured bacterium. Its description in RNAcentral is "partial 16S ribosomal RNA". It matches the Rfam family "Bacterial small subunit ribosomal RNA", at positions 28 to 507 of the family's 1533-position model. The record is from RNAcentral.
GAUGAACGCUGGCGGCGUGCCUAAUACAUGCAAGUCGAGCGAACAGACGAGGAGCUUGCUCCUCUGACGUUAGCGGCGGACGGGUGAGUAACACGUGGAUAACCUACCUAUAAGACUGGGAUAACUUCGGGAAACCGGAGCUAAUACCGGAUAAUCUAUUCAACCGCAUGGUUCAAUAGUGAAAGACGGUUUUGCUGUCACUUAUAGAUGGAUCCGCGCCGCAUUAGCUAGUUGGUAAGGUAACGGCUUACCAAGGCAACGAUGCGUAGCCGACCUGAGAGGGUGAUCGGCCACACUGGAACUGAGACACGGUCCAGACUCCUACGGGAGGCAGCAGUAGGGAAUCUUCCGCAAUGGGCGAAAGCCUGACGGAGCAACGCCGCGUGAGUGAUGAAGGUCUUCGGAUCGUAAAACUCUGUUAUUAGGGAAGAACAAAUGUGUAAGUAACUAUGCACGGCUUGACGGUACCUAAUCAGAAAGCCACGGCUAACUACGUG